Long non-coding RNA from Oncorhynchus keta (chum salmon), 192 nucleotides. RefSeq lists it as uncharacterized. Lineage: Eukaryota; Metazoa; Chordata; Actinopteri; Salmoniformes; Salmonidae. The record is from RefSeq and is a predicted model, not a curated record. The transcript has 3 exons.
GAUGGGUUAGGGUGGGUUAGAUGGGUUAGUUAGGUUAGGAUGGGUGAGAUGGGUUAGUUAGGUUAGGAUGGGUGAGAUGGGUUAGUUAGGUUAGGAUGGGUGAGAUGGGUUAGUUAGGUUAGGAUGGGUGAGAUGGGUUAGUUAGGUUAGGGUGGGUGAGAUGGGUUAGAUAGGUUAGGGUGGGUGAGAUGG